Molecule: small RNA, 61 nt
Filed under: Arabidopsis thaliana (thale cress)
Lineage: Eukaryota; Viridiplantae; Streptophyta; Magnoliopsida; Brassicales; Brassicaceae
Description: ATSL221540
Source: RNAcentral
UCAAAAGUCAAAAGAUACCCGCAUCCGCUUCUUGCUUCUCGUAGUCUGUUGGUUGUACUCU